CCCUGUCCAGCCGCCGCUGCUGUCUCCAUUCCCCUCGGGAUCCUCCAGAUCCGAUCGAGCCAACCACCUGCUCGAUCCACUGCCUCCCUCGGUUCCCCACCAACCAUAGCCUCCACCUCCGAGAUCGAUCCAACCAGCAUAGCAGACCACGCCUUCCCUCCUCGAUCCACCCAACCAUCAGCUCCCCAGCUCCCUUGCCAGCCUCCUCGUGCCCGAGCCCCUCGCGCUCGAGCGGGAGAGCUCCGCCCCCGAGCUCGUGCAGUCCAUGGCGCCCGUCUUCGGCCUCCCCGACGCGCCCCUUCCCCCUCUGCCUUGUCCCCAACGCCCGUGCUGCCGAUGACCCUCGCCGGAGCCCGACUGACCGCCGCCAGGGACGCCCAGCCGGCCGCCUACGACCUCCUCUUCCCGCAGCUACUCAGCCACGUCUCCACUCGUCGUCGCAGCAUCUUCGACCAGCCCGCCACCACCUACGAGCGCCAUCACGCCUCCGGUAAACGCCAUGGCCGCCCCUGACCUCCGUCCGCGCCGUCGUUGCCCGGAUCCGGUGCCGGCCAGCCGGAUCCGCCCCAUCUCCACCUCGCCGGUCUUCCCAGCAGCUGCUGCCGCGCCGUUGACCCCGUCCUCGCCGCGCCCCUGUUUCCUCUGGUUCAAAGACAAACAAGCGCGCCGCCCCUGCGUUGACCGCGCCCUGCCUCGCCUCGAUGUGCCUGCGUGGCCCGCAGCCAGCGCCAGGCCCAGCCGCAGCGCCUCUAGGCCCAGCUCGCCCGGCCCAGUGGCCCUCUGGUACAGGUUAUGCAAUGAUCAUGACGCGAGAGCGAUGUUUGCUUGUUUCGGAGUUUUCU
Molecule: long non-coding RNA, 842 nt
Organism: Triticum dicoccoides
Lineage: Eukaryota; Viridiplantae; Streptophyta; Magnoliopsida; Poales; Poaceae
Exons: 3
Source: RefSeq, a predicted model, not a curated record